GGUGGGAUGUCCGAGUGGCCAAAGGAUCGCGGCUGUAAACCGCGCGGCUAUGCCUACGCAGGUUCGAAUCCUGCUCCCACCA
This 82-nucleotide transfer RNA is filed under the name Actinomycetota bacterium. RNAcentral's name for it is "tRNA-Tyr". It matches the Rfam family "tRNA". From Rfam's summary of the family: Transfer RNA (tRNA) molecules are approximately 80 nucleotides in length. The record is from RNAcentral. RNAcentral also lists the same sequence under 1 other name. Lineage: Bacteria; Bacillati; Actinomycetota.